GGCCAUAGCUCAGUGGUAGAGCAUCUGCUUUGCAUGCAGAAGGUUACAGGUUCAACCCCCCAGCAUCU
Molecule: transfer RNA, 68 nt
Filed under: Podarcis lilfordi (Lilford's wall lizard)
Lineage: Eukaryota; Metazoa; Chordata; Lepidosauria; Squamata; Lacertidae
Description: tRNA.Ala
Rfam family: tRNA (bases 6-62)
About the family: Transfer RNA (tRNA) molecules are approximately 80 nucleotides in length. Their secondary structure includes four short double-helical elements and three loops (D, anti-codon, and T loops).
Source: RNAcentral